CCUUGUGUGUCUCACACACCCAUCCCUUAUCGUGUCCUUCUCCCCCCAUUAAAGUGCACCCACGUGGGAGCCGCGUGUCUUGUCUCCUCCCUUUGCACUUGUCUCGUCUAUCCUGUGUUCGUCUACACACCCCACCCGCCGUUUUUAAAAGAAUAAUAUUUUGGUGCCGUGACGACUCGGGGACUUCUUCAUGCCGGAUUCUCCACCCGAGGCCUGGACUCCGGGCCUCUGGCGCCUCCCGGAGUCCGGGACCUCAAGCCGGACACAGAGUCAGAACCGAGACCUACAGCCACCACCGCUCACCACAGCCAUCUCUGACUGAUACCACCUAAUUCGUCUCGUCUAUCCUGUGUUCGUCUACACACCCCACCCACCGUUUUUAAAAGAAUAAUAGUGUCCUGGUGAAAAGUAAUGGGUAUGUGCUAGCAGCUUCCUCAUUCCUGACACCCAGAUUGCUCACCAGAUCCCAGAUGAACUGUGUACCAUCACACAUACCCAGGAGAACAGACUCUUCCAUGUGCUACUGAGAUCUUAAGACUACUGUAGUCACCUCAUUGUGAAAUCUUGCAACUUUCCAGCUUCCUUGUCCUGAGUGUGCCACAAUCACAGUUGAGAAGAACCUUCAUCUGGCGAUGGAUGGAGAUAGAGACAGAGACCCACACUGGAGCACAGGACUGAGCUCCCAAUGUCCCAAUGAGGAGCAGAAGGAGGGAGAAGAUGAGCAAAGAAGUCAGGACCAUAAGGGGUGCACCCACCCACGGAGACAGUGGGGCUGAUCUAUUGGGAGCUCACCAAGGCCAGCUGGACUGUGACUGAAAAAGCAUGGGAUAAAACUGGACUCUCUGAAUAUGGCAGACAAUGAGGGCUGCCGAGAAGCCAAGGACAAUGGCACUGGGUUUUGAUCCUACUUCAUGUUCUGGCUUUGUGGGAGCCUAACCAGUUUGAAUGUUCUCCUUCCUAGACCAGGAUGGAGGCGGGAGGACUUUGGACUUUCCACAGAGCAGGGAACCCUGA
Alexandromys fortis (reed vole) is the source of this 1014-nucleotide long non-coding RNA. RefSeq lists it as uncharacterized. Lineage: Eukaryota; Metazoa; Chordata; Mammalia; Rodentia; Cricetidae. The transcript has 4 exons. The record is from RefSeq and is a predicted model, not a curated record.